Molecule: long non-coding RNA, 308 nt
Filed under: Pan troglodytes (chimpanzee)
Lineage: Eukaryota; Metazoa; Chordata; Mammalia; Primates; Hominidae
Description: long non-coding RNA NONPTRT003149
Source: RNAcentral
CCUUAGCCUCCAUCUUCAGGCAAGAAAGUCUGUGAUAUGAAUGAAGGGAUCAUAAAAGGCACAUGGAAUCAAAGCUUUUGGUCAACUGCCAACAAGGUACAGAGGCCCAACAGCAAUCAUCGAAUGAGCUUGGAAGUGGAUCCUCUCACCCCAGUUGAGCCUUCUGAUGACUGCAGCCCUGGCUGAUGCUUGACUACAACUUCAUCAGAAAUCCUCAUGAAGAUCCAGCACCUUCCAAUGAGAAAACCAAUGCUCCGAUGAGUGCAGUGACUUCCCAUGCCUGGUAAGUGGCAGAGCUUGGAUUGACC